Molecule: ribosomal RNA, 492 nt
Filed under: uncultured bacterium
Lineage: Bacteria
Description: partial 16S ribosomal RNA
Rfam family: Bacterial small subunit ribosomal RNA
Source: RNAcentral
AGUGAACGCUGGCGGCAGGCUUAACACAUGCAAGUCGAACGGCAGCACAGUAAUAGCUUGCUCUUACGGGUGGCGAGUGGCGGACGGGUGAGGUAUACAGCGGAAUCUACUUUUUCGUGGGGGGUAACGAAGGGAAACUUACGCUAAUACCGGAUACGACCUACGGGUGAAAGGAGGGGAUCUUGGGACCUUGCGCGGUUGAAUGAGCCGAUGUCGGAGUAGCUAGUUGGCGGGGUUAUGGCCGACCAAUGCGACGCUCCGUAGCUGGGCUGGGAGAAUGAUCGGCCACAAUGGAACUGGAACACGGACCAGACUCCUACGGGAGGCAGCAGUGGGCAACAUUGGGCAGUAGGCGCGAGCAUUGUCCAGCCAUACGACGUGGGUUGAGGAAGCCUUGGGGUUGGGAAGCCGUUUUGUUGGGAGUGAAAAGCUGCAGGUUAAUACGCAGCUGUACUGACGGUACCCAAAGAAUAAGCACCGGCUAACUUCGUG